GGAGUGAUUAGAACUGUACGCGUUAGGA
RNAcentral lists this non-coding RNA (28 nucleotides) under Bombyx mori (domestic silkworm). Lineage: Eukaryota; Metazoa; Arthropoda; Insecta; Lepidoptera; Bombycidae. The record is from RNAcentral.